CAGUCGCCACGGUAAUACAGAGGGUGCAAGCGUUAAUCGGAAUUACUGGGCGUAAAGCGCGCAUAGGUGGUUUGUUAAGUUGGAUGUGAAAUCCCCGGGCUCAACCUGGGAACUGCAUCCAAAACUGGCAAGCUAGAGUAUGGUAGAGGGUGGUGGAAUUUCCUGUGUAGCGGUGAAAUGCGUAGAUAUAGGAAGGAACACCAGUGGCGAAGGCGACCACCUGGACUGAUACUGACACUGAGGUGCGAAAGCGUGGGGAGCAAACAGGAUUAGAUACCCCAGUAGUCCCUGUCUCUUAUAC
This 301-nucleotide ribosomal RNA is filed under the name uncultured bacterium. RNAcentral's name for it is "partial 16S ribosomal RNA". It matches the Rfam family "Bacterial small subunit ribosomal RNA", at positions 509 to 807 of the family's 1533-position model. The record is from RNAcentral.